Long non-coding RNA from Lactuca sativa (garden lettuce), 1156 nucleotides. RefSeq lists it as uncharacterized. The record is from RefSeq and is a predicted model, not a curated record. Lineage: Eukaryota; Viridiplantae; Streptophyta; Magnoliopsida; Asterales; Asteraceae.
UUACUCAUUAUUUAUAAAUAAACUAUAUAUAAUAUCAAUAUAAAAUAAAAUAAUAAAGAAUAAAAACCCUAAAGCUUCGCUCCUUCUCCCAGUUCUUCAUGCUUCACCGCCUCUCACCCUCUUCGUCUCUUUCCCGUUCCAGAUUUCGGUGACCCGAUCUUUCUCAUCCUCACACCCUCUCCAAUCGUCCGUUCAUGCUCAAUCAUUCAAUUUGAUAACCCGAUCUGAAACUCAACCCAGUUGAGAACUAAACCAAUCUGAAACCUAAUGAAAGCGAAGGGCAGGACGAAUGCAAAAUUAUCGAUGGUUGGUGGAUUUUCUGAAAAUUGAUUCUCACCACUCAUUCGAUUCAAUUUCUCAUACGACAGGGGGACAUGAGAGAGAUCGAGAUGCACAUGAAUCAUGAUAUGUUCGCAAUCCUUCAAUCUCCAAGUUUCCCUAAAUUGUUUGGAUUUUGAUUUAUUUGACUAAACUACAAGAUCUGCAGGUGGCAGAGUUUUUCGAUAAUAUUUUCUGUUGUUUUUGCAAGUUUCAGUGACGAUAGACGAUGUUCAGGUGACAUAGGGUGCAUUGGUGGAGGUUGCAGAGACGACGGGUUGUGUUGGCGAUGAUGAAUGGAAGUGGUGGCAAAGAUAGAGGUUUGAGAAUAGAGCUUGAAAUCCAGUUUGGUUUUCAAAGCCUUGUGUUGUGUAUGUAAUCAUCGGAAACACAAAGGGACAGAGGUGUACGGCAUGGGACGGUGGUUGGGGAAGGAGGGGGUGUCAAUGAUGAAGUUCCUGAAGCAAUGAGGAGGAAGAAAAGAACGAGUGGGACCCACACGUAUAAAAAAUCUUAUAAUAAUUUAGUUAUUAAUAAACGAUAAGUUAAAAUAAUGCAUAAGGGUAUAGUGGUCUUUUCAUGUUGGUUGGGGACCGAAAUCGUAACAAACACAAACAGCAUGGACGAUCCGAGUUAAAAAUUUUUUCUAGGAACCAACCGUGCAGACUACCCAAAACCACAGUGACCAUUCGUGUAAAUUACCCAACAAUAAAAGAAAUUUUUUUUAAAGAAAAUACAAAAUAAAUACAAUAGGGUAAUUUAGUCAUUUUAAGUUGGUCAGGACCGGCGGAUGACGUAACAAAAACAUAAAAUAGGGAUCGUACGAAUAAAAAAAUAA